GAAAUGCGAUAAGUAAUGUGAAUUGCAGAAUUCAGUGAAUCAUCGAAUCUUUGAACGCACAUUGCGCCCGCUAGCAUUCUGGCGGGCAUGCCUGUCCGAGCGUCAUUUCAACCCUCAGGGUCCCCGUCUUCGCGCGGGGAACCUGGUGUUGGGGAUCGGCCCGCCCCCGCGCGGCGCCGUCCCCCAAAUUCAGUGGCGGUCUCGCUGCAGCCUCCCCUGCGUAGUAGCUUACAACCUCGCAUCGGAGCGCCGCGUGGCCACGCCGUAAAACCCCCCGACUUUCUGAACGUUGACCUCGGAUCAGGUAGGAAUACCCGCUGAACUUAAGC
RNAcentral lists this unclassified non-coding RNA (329 nucleotides) under plant metagenome. Its description in RNAcentral is "partial contains 5.8S ribosomal RNA, internal transcribed spacer 2, and large subunit ribosomal RNA". The stretch from base 1 to 105 matches the Rfam family "5.8S ribosomal RNA", at positions 50 to 154 of the family's 154-position model. The record is from RNAcentral.